GGCAGUGGAGGUGAAGGUAUCUCUCUAGAGAUCCCUGUAUACCUAAGGAUUUUACAGGCCUUCUGAAGUUAACAUCUGAUGUUACCAGCUGUAAUGUUGGAAGGUCUGCACCUUGUUGGCAUGAACAAGGAUCUGAUUGGUAAGAAGUUAUUUCAGCUACAGAAGAAGCCUGUCAAAGAUGGACUGACUACAAACUUCAGUAAUUAGCAGGUUCUUAAAGCUAAUGACAGUGAGAACAAGCCCAAAAUUGAAUGCUGUGUAGUCCUAAGGUCGCUUGACCAGCUGUUAGACAGGAUUUUGUCUCCAUGCAACUCCUGAUUGUGGCUAUAGUGGAGUCUCUUAAACUUUCAGUCGUCUGCUUCCUGACUCAUCUCCUGUGGCUAAUGCUGAAGCAGAUAUGGCUGAAUAAAAUCUAU
Molecule: long non-coding RNA, 416 nt
Organism: Gallus gallus (chicken)
Lineage: Eukaryota; Metazoa; Chordata; Aves; Galliformes; Phasianidae
Source: Ensembl